GCCUGGCUGGCUCAGUAGAGCAUGUGACUCUUGAUCUAGGGGUUGUGGGUUUGAGCCCCAUGUUGGGUG
RNAcentral lists this transfer RNA (69 nucleotides) under Ailuropoda melanoleuca (giant panda). It matches the Rfam family "tRNA". Rfam says of the family: Transfer RNA (tRNA) molecules are approximately 80 nucleotides in length. Their secondary structure includes four short double-helical elements and three loops (D, anti-codon, and T loops). Lineage: Eukaryota; Metazoa; Chordata; Mammalia; Carnivora; Ursidae. The record is from Rfam by way of RNAcentral.